This 1546-nucleotide long non-coding RNA is filed under the name Delphinapterus leucas (beluga whale). RNAcentral's name for it is "lncRNA (ENSDLEG00000017310.1)". The record is from RNAcentral. Lineage: Eukaryota; Metazoa; Chordata; Mammalia; Artiodactyla; Monodontidae.
AAUAGUUUAUUUUUUCUCUUUAUGAAGCUAGCCAAAAUGAGGAGAUAAGAUAGGGCCAAUAUUUACAUUGAAAUUAGUUCAAUUAGAACUUUGGCAGUAGAACUAUAACCUCCCCAGCCACUAGUUGAGUGUUUUAGAGAAGUUUGCAUGUGAUCAAGGCAUGCACACGCAAUGGUUUGGCAGUAGGUAGAGGCCAUCCAGAGCAUGAUAAGUUAGUCUGUGUCCUUUAUUCACUCUGCAUUCACAGAGUGAAGAAUAAUGCUGUCACUGGGGGGAUUUAUCACGUUCACUGGAAAACUGAUGUCAAAAUUAUUAAAUGAUAUCAUGUUUUCUUCAAUUUAUGCCAGUGUUAUAUUUUUAUCGAUAUUGAACUGAAAGACUUUGGAUUGCUAAUUUUAAAAACAGGGAAAAAAUUCUUAGAUCCUAUCUUCUAGUGAAUACAUUCACUACUCUCUGUAGUGAUUUAGAGCUCCUGAUUUUAGGAGCACAUAACAAUUUUGCUGAUUUAAUGUGCAAUAAUUGGCACGUUAUGAACACUUUGAUCUUGCCUGAGGAAUAACUCCUGAAUAGAUAAUCCAAGCUUAGGAAAACUGUAAUGUUUAUUGACAGUUAAUUAUUGUUCUUUUUUUGUUCCAUUUCCAAAUGGGUAUUUCUAAAUUACCCUAGUUUUCCUAAGGCUGACAAAGGAGAAUAAAUUUUAGACUUACAUUGUCCAGUAUGGCAGGCACUAGCCACAUGGAGUUAUUAAGCAUUGAAAGGUGGCUGGUUCAGAUUGAGAUGUCCUGUAAGAGUAAAAUACACACCGUAUUUCAGGUCUUAAUACAAUAAAACAAAGUAAAAUGGUUAUUGAUCACACAUUGAAUCGAUAACACUUUGGAUACACUGUGAAAUAACAUAUAUGAACUAAUUAAUUUUAUCUUUUUAAACUUUAGACUUACAUAUGUGGCUCACAUUAUAUUUGCUGGAUGACAUGACUAUAGAGUAUUCCAGAGAAGCAAAGAUGAAGAAUAUCAGGAUUUGGUCUACUACAAGACAAGAAAAAGGCAAAAAAGAGCCCAGGACGUUGCCAUCUGGGGAUGUUAUGGCAGAUCGGCUCUGCAAAAACCUAAAAGGCCUAAACUCCUUUCGAGGAUUGCUGAGGAAGUAUCCCCAUCUUCUUUAUCCAAGAUGGUGACUGGUAUCAAAAGAUCAAAAACCUGGUUAGAGAUGCCGGCCUUUGCAAUGAGGGUCAGUCAACAAGGACUAACCUGUAAGUGGCUUAAUGGACAAUGAGGAUAGAAAAGGCCUCUGUGUGGCAAUUAUCUGGUCACAGAUAGUUACCCCUUUAAUGACUGAAAGGACCCCUCCACUCUAUUUAUGUGUUGUUUUUGUACAGAUUUCAGAAAUUGAAGGCUGCUAAUCUGAGUAGUUCUCAAAUGUGAGGAACUGCUGGUCUUGGAUUUUUUCCCAUUAAAUUCAGCUGAUCAUAUUGAUCAAUAGAUAAAUGUAAAUAGCUUCAAAUGUUAAAAGUCAAGUUUAAAAGUUGAUUCAGUGUUUUUUCUUCACU